CCUACGGGUGGCUGCAGUGGGGAAUAUUGGACAAUGGGCGAAAGCCUGAUCCAGCCAUGCCGCGUGUGUGAAGAAGGCCUUCGGGUUGUAAAGCACUUUCAGUGGGGAAGAAAGCCUUGGGGCUAAUACCCUCGAGGAAGGACAUCACCCACAGAAGAAGCACCGGCUAACUCCGUGCCAGCAGCCGCGGUAAUACGGAGGGUGCGAGCGUUAAUCGGAAUUACUGGGCGUAAAGCGCGCGUAGGCGGUCUGAUAAGCCGGUUGUGAAAGCCCCGGGCUCAACCUGGGAACGGCAUCCGGAACUGUCAGGCUAGAGUGCAGGAGAGGAAGGUAGAAUUCCCGGUGUAGCGGUGAAAUGCGUAGAGAUCGGGAGGAAUACCAGUGGCGAAGGCGGCCUCCUGGACUGACACUGACGCUGAGGUGCGAAAGCGUGGGUAGCAAACAGGAUUAGAUACCCCAGUAGUC
This 465-nucleotide ribosomal RNA is filed under the name Vreelandella stevensii. RNAcentral's name for it is "partial 16S ribosomal RNA". It matches the Rfam family "Bacterial small subunit ribosomal RNA", at positions 338 to 795 of the family's 1533-position model. Lineage: Bacteria; Pseudomonadati; Pseudomonadota; Gammaproteobacteria; Oceanospirillales; Halomonadaceae. The record is from RNAcentral.